RNAcentral lists this transfer RNA (64 nucleotides) under human gut metagenome. It matches the Rfam family "tRNA", at positions 6 to 65 of the family's 71-position model. Rfam says of the family: Transfer RNA (tRNA) molecules are approximately 80 nucleotides in length. Their secondary structure includes four short double-helical elements and three loops (D, anti-codon, and T loops). Further hydrogen bonds mediate the characteristic L-shaped molecular structure. tRNAs have two regions of fundamental functional importance: the anti-codon, which is responsible for specific mRNA codon recognition, and the 3' end, to which the tRNAs corresponding amino acid is attached (by aminoacyl-tRNA synthetases). tRNAs cope with the degeneracy of the genetic code in two manners: having more than one tRNA (with a specific anti-codon) for a particular amino acid; and 'wobble' base-pairing, i.e. permitting non-standard base-pairing at the 3rd anti-codon position. The record is from RNAcentral.
CUUAGCUCAGCAGGAUAGAGCAUCGGACUUCUAAUCCGGCGGUCGGGGGUUCGAAUCCCUCAGG